Long non-coding RNA from Stegostoma tigrinum, 889 nucleotides. RefSeq lists it as uncharacterized. The transcript is spliced from 3 exons. Lineage: Eukaryota; Metazoa; Chordata; Chondrichthyes; Orectolobiformes; Stegostomatidae. The record is from RefSeq and is a predicted model, not a curated record.
CCGUGGCCUUUGCGUGACCGGUUUCCCAGCGCAGGUGAGCUCGGUUUGAACGCUACCUGCAAGAUCACUUGCCUACGUGUCACUUAGAAUGCAGUUUCUGAAAAUUGCCCAUUUGGUUCCGUGUCUGCACCUGGAUUCGAACCAGAUCGAUUGUAAUCAUCUCAGCCCUUCCCUUUCAAUUUGCAUCAGGAUAAUUUCCGUAAUGUGAAGGCUCAAAGGCAGUUUUGUUUUCUGGGGAAGUUAAAAGGAUUGUGAUCAAACAGGGGCAUUCGGUCUACCCCCACCUCUCUGCCCUCCCUCUACAAAAGCCACGUCAGGAAAAGGAAGACUUCAGUGACCCCGGACAGUGGUGGGUCAGGAUAGGUUACAGAUCCUGUAGAAGGCGGAUGGAAGGAUCUCCGGGAGACUGAACGAUUCCCUCGCCUCGCUCUCUCGCUGUUCAUAGCUGGACGUUUAUCCCCUCUCCUGGAAGCGUCUCGAGCAACCGAGCGAACUCUAUCCCUGCCUGACGCCGAGCCAAACAAACAAUACCUAUUGUAAAAGUUUUGUUCGUUCGGCUCGCGUUACGCAGGGGUGGUAUAUCUGCGGAGAAACCGCCCCAUCCCCCUCACCCCCCUCCACCUCCCAUGACCUUGCAGAGAAUUGACCCUUGUACACACCAACGUUGCUACAGUCCCAGCGACGGAUGCUGAGUGGCAGUGGAUCUCGUGAAAUGUCCUCACCGCCUCAAAACGGCGACUGAUCCCAUAUGUUCCAUCAUCUUUUUUUCAUAACGUAGCUUUCAAAAAAAAGGGUCCUAACUUGUAAGACGAUCAAAGUUGUACUGGGAAACGACUGAAAUACAUUACAGAUGUGAUUGUGUUUCUGUUUUUUUUUAAAAAAAAAUAAA